This 1755-nucleotide ribosomal RNA is filed under the name Staphylococcus epidermidis. RNAcentral describes it as "bacterial LSU rRNA". It matches the Rfam family "Bacterial large subunit ribosomal RNA", at positions 1174 to 2925 of the family's 2925-position model. Lineage: Bacteria; Bacillati; Bacillota; Bacilli; Caryophanales; Staphylococcaceae. The record is from RNAcentral.
ACCGGGGCUAAACAUAUUACCGAAGCUGUGGAUUGUCCUUUGGACAAUGGUAGGAGAGCGUUCUAAGGGCGUCGAAGCAUGAUCGCAAGGACAUGUGGAGCGCUUAGAAGUGAGAAUGCCGGUGUGAGUAGCGAAAGACGGGUGAGAAUCCCGUCCACCGAUUGACUAAGGUUUCCAGAGGAAGGCUCGUCCGCUCUGGGUUAGUCGGGUCCUAAGCUGAGGCCGACAGGCGUAGGCGAUGGAUAACAGGUUGAUAUUCCUGUACCACCUAGUAUCGUUUUAAUCGAUGGGGGGACGCAGUAGGAUAGGCGAAGCGUGCUGUUGGAGUGCACGUCCAAGCAGUAAGGCUGAGUGUUAGGCAAAUCCGGCACUCAUAAGGCUGAGCUGUGAUGGGGAGAGGAAAUUGUUUCCUCGAGUCGUUGAUUUCACACUGCCGAGAAAAGCCUCUAGAUAGAUAACAGGUGCCCGUACCGCAAACCGACACAGGUAGUCAAGAUGAGAAUUCUAAGGUGAGCGAGCGAACUCUCGUUAAGGAACUCGGCAAAAUGACCCCGUAACUUCGGGAGAAGGGGUGCUCUUUAGGGUUCACGCCCAGAAGAGCCGCAGUGAAUAGGCCCAAGCGACUGUUUAUCAAAAACACAGGUCUCUGCUAAACCGUAAGGUGAUGUAUAGGGGCUGACGCCUGCCCGGUGCUGGAAGGUUAAGAGGAGUGGUUAGCUUCUGCGAAGCUACGAAUCGAAGCCCCAGUAAACGGCGGCCGUAACUAUAACGGUCCUAAGGUAGCGAAAUUCCUUGUCGGGUAAGUUCCGACCCGCACGAAAGGCGUAACGAUUUGGGCACUGUCUCAACGAGAGACUCGGUGAAAUCAUAGUACCUGUGAAGAUGCAGGUUACCCGCGACAGGACGGAAAGACCCCGUGGAGCUUUACUGUAGCCUGAUAUUGAAAUUCGGCACAGCUUGUACAGGAUAGGUAGGAGCCUUUGAAACGUGAGCGCUAGCUUACGUGGAGGCGUUGGUGGGAUACUACCCUAGCUGUGUUGGCUUUCUAACCCGCACCACUUAUCGUGGUGGGAGACAGUGUCAGGCGGGCAGUUUGACUGGGGCGGUCGCCUCCUAAAAGGUAACGGAGGCGCUCAAAGGUUCCCUCAGAAUGGUUGGAAAUCAUUCAUAGAGUGUAAAGGCAUAAGGGAGCUUGACUGCGAGACCUACAAGUCGAGCAGGGUCGAAAGACGGACUUAGUGAUCCGGUGGUUCCGCAUGGAAGGGCCAUCGCUCAACGGAUAAAAGCUACCCCGGGGAUAACAGGCUUAUCUCCCCCAAGAGUUCACAUCGACGGGGAGGUUUGGCACCUCGAUGUCGGCUCAUCGCAUCCUGGGGCUGUAGUCGGUCCCAAGGGUUGGGCUGUUCGCCCAUUAAAGCGGUACGCGAGCUGGGUUCAGAACGUCGUGAGACAGUUCGGUCCCUAUCCGUCGUGGGCGUAGGAAAUUUGAGAGGAGCUGUCCUUAGUACGAGAGGACCGGGAUGGACAUACCUCUGGUGUACCAGUUGUCGUGCCAACGGCAUAGCUGGGUAGCUAUGUAUGGACGGGAUAAGUGCUGAAAGCAUCUAAGCAUGAAGCCCCCCUCAAGAUGAGAUUUCCCAACUUCGGUUAUAAGAUCCCUCGAAGAUGACGAGGUUAAUAGGUUCGAGGUGGAAGCGUGGUGACACGUGGAGCUGACGAAUACUAAUCGAUCGAAGACUUAAUCAAUUUUUUAAA